This 460-nucleotide ribosomal RNA is filed under the name uncultured bacterium. RNAcentral's name for it is "partial 16S ribosomal RNA". It matches the Rfam family "Bacterial small subunit ribosomal RNA", at positions 338 to 795 of the family's 1533-position model. The record is from RNAcentral.
CCUACGGGUGGCAGCAGUGAGGAAUAUUGGUCAAUGGACGAGAGUCUGAACCAGCCAAGUAGCGUGAAGGAUGACUGCCCUAUGGGUUGUAAACUUCUUUUAUAUGGGAAUAAAAUGUUCCACGUGUGGGUUUUUGUAUGUACCAUAUGAAUAAGGAUCGGCUAACUCCGUGCCAGCAGCCGCGGUAAUACGGAGGAUCCGAGCGUUAUCCGGAUUUAUUGGGUUUAAAGGGAGCGUAGGUGGAUUGUUAAGUCAGUUGUGAAAGUUUGCGGCUCAACCGGAAAAUUGCAGUUGAAACUGGCAGUCUUGAGUACAGUAGAGGUAGGCGGAAUGCGUGGUGUAGCGGUGAAAUGCUUAGAUAUCACGAAGAACUCCGAUUGCGAAGGCAGCUCACUGGACUGCAACUGACACUGAGGCUCGAAAGUGUGGGUAUCAAACAGGAUUAGAUACCCCUGUAGUC